RNAcentral lists this ribosomal RNA (2114 nucleotides) under Escherichia coli. RNAcentral's name for it is "partial 23S ribosomal RNA". It matches the Rfam family "Bacterial large subunit ribosomal RNA", at positions 711 to 2808 of the family's 2925-position model. Lineage: Bacteria; Pseudomonadati; Pseudomonadota; Gammaproteobacteria; Enterobacterales; Enterobacteriaceae. The record is from RNAcentral.
AGACCCGAAACCCGGUGAUCUAGCCAUGGGCAGGUUGAAGGUUGGGUAACACUAACUGGAGGACCGAACCGACUAAUGUUGAAAAAUUAGCGGAUGACUUGUGGCUGGGGGUGAAAGGCCAAUCAAACCGGGAGAUAGCUGGUUCUCCCCGAAAGCUAUUUAGGUAGCGCCUCGUGAAUUCAUCUCCGGGGGUAGAGCACUGUUUCGGCAAGGGGGUCAUCCCGACUUACCAACCCGAUGCAAACUGCGAAUACCGGAGAAUGUUAUCACGGGAGACACACGGCGGGUGCUAACGUCCGUCGUGAAGAGGGAAACAACCCAGACCGCCAGCUAAGGUCCCAAAGUCAUGGUUAAGUGGGAAACGAUGUGGGAAGGCCCAGACAGCCAGGAUGUUGGCUUAGAAGCAGCCAUCAUUUAAAGAAAGCGUAAUAGCUCACUGGUCGAGUCGGCCUGCGCGGAAGAUGUAACGGGGCUAAACCAUGCACCGAAGCUGCGGCAGCGACACUGUGUGUUGUUGGGUAGGGGAGCGUUCUGUAAGCCUGUGAAGGUGUGCUGUGAGGCAUGCUGGAGGUAUCAGAAGUGCGAAUGCUGACAUAAGUAACGAUAAAGCGGGUGAAAAGCCCGCUCGCCGGAAGACCAAGGGUUCCUGUCCAACGUUAAUCGGGGCAGGGUGAGUCGACCCCUAAGGCGAGGCCGAAAGGCGUAGUCGAUGGGAAACAGGUUAAUAUUCCUGUACUUGGUGUUACUGCGAAGGGGGGACGGAGAAGGCUAUGUUGGCCGGGCGACGGUUGUCCCGGUUUAAGCGUGUAGGCUGGUUUUCCAGGCAAAUCCGGAAAAUCAAGGCUGAGGCGUGAUGACGAGGCACUACGGUGCUGAAGCAACAAAUGCCCUGCUUCCAGGAAAAGCCUCUAAGCAUCAGGUAACAUCAAAUCGUACCCCAAACCGACACAGGUGGUCAGGUAGAGAAUACCAAGGCGCUUGAGAGAACUCGGGUGAAGGAACUAGGCAAAAUGGUGCCGUAACUUCGGGAGAAGGCACGCUGAUAUGUAGGUGAAGUCCCUCGCGGAUGGAGCUGAAAUCAGUCGAAGAUACCAGCUGGCUGCAACUGUUUAUUAAAAACACAGCACUGUGCAAACACGAAAGUGGACGUAUACGGUGUGACGCCUGCCCGGUGCCGGAAGGUUAAUUGAUGGGGUCAGCGCAAGCGAAGCUCUUGAUCGAAGCCCCGGUAAACGGCGGCCGUAACUAUAACGGUCCUAAGGUAGCGAAAUUCCUUGUCGGGUAAGUUCCGACCUGCACGAAUGGCGUAAUGAUGGCCAGGCUGUCUCCACCCGAGACUCAGUGAAAUUGAACUCGCUGUGAAGAUGCAGUGUACCCGCGGCAAGACGGAAAGACCCCGUGAACCUUUACUAUAGCUUGACACUGAACAUUGAGCCUUGAUGUGUAGGAUAGGUGGGAGGCUUUGAAGUGUGGACGCCAGUCUGCAUGGAGCCGACCUUGAAAUACCACCCUUUAAUGUUUGAUGUUCUAACGUGGACCCGUGAUCCGGGUUGCGGACAGUGUCUGGUGGGUAGUUUGACUGGGGCGGUCUCCUCCUAAAGAGUAACGGAGGAGCACGAAGGUUGGCUAAUCCUGGUCGGACAUCAGGAGGUUAGUGCAAUGGCAUAAGCCAGCUUGACUGCGAGCGUGACGGCGCGAGCAGGUGCGAAAGCAGGUCAUAGUGAUCCGGUGGUUCUGAAUGGAAGGGCCAUCGCUCAACGGAUAAAAGGUACUCCGGGGAUAACAGGCUGAUACCGCCCAAGAGUUCAUAUCGACGGCGGUGUUUGGCACCUCGAUGUCGGCUCAUCACAUCCUGGGGCUGAAGUAGGUCCCAAGGGUAUGGCUGUUCGCCAUUUAAAGUGGUACGCGAGCUGGGUUUAGAACGUCGUGAGACAGUUCGGUCCCUAUCUGCCGUGGGCGCUGGAGAACUGAGGGGGGCUGCUCCUAGUACGAGAGGACCGGAGUGGACGCAUCACUGGUGUUCGGGUUGUCAUGCCAAUGGCACUGCCCGGUAGCUAAAUGCGGAAGAGAUAAGUGCUGAAAGCAUCUAAGCACGAAACUUGCCCCGAGAUGAG